RNAcentral lists this small RNA (655 nucleotides) under Arabidopsis thaliana (thale cress). Its description in RNAcentral is "ATSL205030". Lineage: Eukaryota; Viridiplantae; Streptophyta; Magnoliopsida; Brassicales; Brassicaceae. The record is from RNAcentral.
UAUAUAUAUAUAUAUAUAUAUUUAUAUGUACUUAAGAAUUAAGAUUUAAAGGAGAAAGAGGAAAUAAAUGAGGAUAUAUAUACAUGCAACAACGUCAACAUCAUUUUUAACAAAAAAAAGCACAACGCCAACAUCUAGCUAACUCUCCUCUUAGUGUAUUACUUUCAUGAUUCGUCAGCAGUUUUGUUUUUAUCUGAUUUUCGUCUAUCAAAAUGUAAUAAAGUUCUAAUUGCAAUAUGGAUGAUUGCACAGACAUUUUAGCUUAGCCGGCAUUCCGUCAUCCUCUCCUCAAAGAUCAUAAUGUUUUUGGUUUUAUGAAUACGCAUAUAAUACAGGAAAGUCAAAGAAUCUUCCUAAUCUAGCCAAAAAAUGGAGAUGAACUUACCUGACAGACGUGGCUUUGUAUAGGAUUGACAUGUCUCGAAGCAACUAUUGCGAUACGGAGGGAGGUUUCUCACGAGAACGGGACUACAAAUUCUGGGGCUGGACCAGAAUCACCCAUGGACACAAGUAUCCGACUAUAUUUUUUCCAUUUUACUAAAGUAUAUGAAUUGAACCAAUUCAUCAUUCUGAAUUACUCUCUAUGUCACGAUGGUAUUCUAAACUUGAAAGUGCAUAUUUUUCUUGUUAUUUCUAAAAUACCAAAAUAAUAAAU